RNAcentral lists this unclassified non-coding RNA (218 nucleotides) under uncultured Tomentella. Its description in RNAcentral is "sequence contains ITS2". The record is from RNAcentral. Lineage: Eukaryota; Fungi; Basidiomycota; Agaricomycetes; Thelephorales; Thelephoraceae.
ACACCUCAACUCUCGUGGCUUGCCAUGAUGAGCUUGGACUUUGGGGGUUUUGUUGGCCUGUGAGCCAGCUCCUCUUAAAUGAAUUAGCUUGCCGGUGUUUGGUGGCGUCACGGGUGUGAUAACUAUCUACGCUUGUGGUUUCCCACCAGGUAACCUUCAGCAAUGGAGGUUCGCCGGAGCUUAUAAAUGUCUCUCCUCGGUGAGGACACGUUUUGACC